GUCACUGUGGCCGAGUGGUUAAGGCGAUUGACUAGAAAUUACUAACUGGGGCCGGAAAAGUUCGAAUCCUGUCGGUGACG
Molecule: non-coding RNA, 80 nt
Organism: Orbilia ellipsospora
Lineage: Eukaryota; Fungi; Ascomycota; Orbiliomycetes; Orbiliales; Orbiliaceae
Source: the annotation of a GenBank genome assembly